GGCCCACGUUUCUAAGUGGCCUUUGAGUGGAAAGUUAAAGGGCGGCAUAAUCAAAUUCUUGGAUAAGAGUAUGAUGAAUUAUGAAAGUUUUACAUGCAAAAUUGUGCAACAUUAAAAAAAAACUAAAAAAAAUAUUAUUAAAAUACAAAAAAUGUUUUCAAAUACAUUCCUAUAUAUGUACCAUUCAGACAGUUAUGUCUUUCCUAGCUCAAAAAACAGAAUGUAAUAAUUACAUUUUGAUACCUUAUUUUUGUUUGUUUCUUUCCAUCUGCCACCAAAUUUGUAAAUUUUUGGAAACUAUAGUUAAAAUGUGUACAUAAUUACUGUGAUAAUAAAAGUAUAGUAAUUUGGGUCAAUACCUAUAUAUUCAUAACAAACAUCGUCAUGGACUGCAACCCUUAGAGGGAAAGCAGUCCAUAGCAACAGUUAAAAAAACAAAACGUCAAAAAAUCAUGAAAUGCAGAAUGCAAACAACUGCAGUAUAUUAUACAUGUAGCUUAUUUAACACUCAAUUUAUGUUCUCAGAUUAAAUUUUACGGACAGACGAGCUUUCGUUUCAUCUCUUUAGUUGUACUUAGAGGUAUAUACUAGUAUAUAGGAUCCACAUAUAUCACCGGUAUAGCCACGACCAUUGAGACAUGAGGAGGAAGUCGCAAUUGAUGCAAAAUCGUCAAAAUUCCAAAAGUCUGCAGAUCAUCCACCCAGACAAUACUGACCAUGCAAGAUCUCUAAGAACAAUUUUCUUUAGGAAGUUAUUGGUCAAAACACAUCUAAGUUUGACUUUCAACAUAUCACCGACAGCUCCAAAAUCUGAGGCUAUAACAUAAUAAAAACCAUUCAUAGCAGCGUAAAGUCGUGCAUUCCAUUACUUGUUUAAUUAUGGAUUGUUUUUUACUUUUCAUUCAUUACCGAUUCUGAAGAUUGGGAUAUUCUUUCUCGGCCAAAACCAAUAUACUACAGGACUACAGGUUUAUAAAUGAAAGAAAAAAAGAAACAUUUCCUCAAACAAUUUAUUGGUGUAUAAAAAUUAAGUAGAACAAUAACAACAGUCUCUGUACUUGAUAUACCUACUAUAACUAUAAAACUGUACUUAUUAUAUAUAUGUAUGUACUUCCACCACUUACAGAUAAUAUAUUUGACAUUUAUUACUUC
Molecule: long non-coding RNA, 1152 nt
Organism: Bombyx mori (domestic silkworm)
Lineage: Eukaryota; Metazoa; Arthropoda; Insecta; Lepidoptera; Bombycidae
Exons: 2
Source: RefSeq, a predicted model, not a curated record